Long non-coding RNA from Antechinus flavipes (yellow-footed antechinus), 587 nucleotides. RefSeq lists it as uncharacterized. NCBI's taxonomy places the organism in Eukaryota, Metazoa, Chordata, Mammalia, Dasyuromorphia, Dasyuridae. The transcript has 2 exons. The record is from RefSeq and is a predicted model, not a curated record.
GUCACAGCUCCCUCAGGGAGAGUUUGGCCCCGUCGGGGACUGGGGAGGGCAAAGGAGCCAGAGCCGGUUGAGGAGCUGGGAUGGGGUAGAGCCGAGGCUGCUGGAAGGGCAUCGCCCUCUGGGACCCCGGAGAGCGUCGGCGGGCAGCGCCUGCCUCCUCGGGAGGGAUCCCUCUCUGUGCUGGGGAGAAACCCGCCCUCGGGGUCUUUCUGAGCCAGGCAGAGCUGACGCCCCGCCGGCCCCGAGUCUCAAAAGCUGAUGGAAAAUGCCCCAGACUUCAGCUCACAUGCCCGCAACGAGGAAGGGGAGCCAGUACGAGCUUGUUCCCGUCUCUCGGGGGUGAGUCCCAGCUCCUUCCAUGGACCGGGCAAAGAUGUCUUGUCGGGAGAUUUGGGAUCUCGUCCAUUUGGGGGCAUCUCGGAGCCCACCCACCAUUUGUCUUCCUGGGACUUUUCCUCCGUCUGUAUCCCACGGAUAGUUUUCUUUUUAGCAUUCUUCAGAUACUAGCGCUCACUCUGUCCCUCUCUUAGGCCCGGCUCUUGCUGCGUAACUCAGCCAACAAAUAAACAAAGAAUUCCUGUGUCUUC